AUUGAACGCUGGCGGCAGGCCUAACACAUGCAAGUCGAGCGGAUGAAGGGAGCUUGCUCCUGGAUUCAGCGGCGGACGGGUGAGUAAUGCCUAGGAAUCUGCCUGGUAGUGGGGGAUAACGUCCGGAAACGGGCGCUAAUACCGCAUACGUCCUGAGGGAGAAAGUGGGGGAUCUUCGGACCUCACGCCAUCAGAUGAGCCUAGGUCGGAUUAGCUAGUUGGUGGGGUAAAGGCCUACCAAGGCGACGAUCCGUAACUGGUCUGAGAGGAUGAUCAGUCACACUGGAACUGAGACACGGUCCAGACUACUACGGGAGGCAGCAGUGGGGAAUAUUGGACAAUGGGCGAAAGCCUGAUCCAGCCAUGCCGCGUGUGUGAAGAAGGUCUUCGGAGUGUAAAGCACUUUAAGUUGGGAGGAAGGGCAGUAAGUUAAUACCUUGCUGUUUUGACGUUACCAACAGAAUAAGCACCGGCUAACUUCGUG
Molecule: ribosomal RNA, 484 nt
Filed under: uncultured bacterium
Lineage: Bacteria
Description: partial 16S ribosomal RNA
Rfam family: Bacterial small subunit ribosomal RNA
Source: RNAcentral